UAUAUAGGUGUACCAGUACUACCCUUUCUUGUUUGUUAUAUAUGUUAUAGGAAAAACAAGGGUAUCGGUUCGCCCUGAAAAUAUUUUCUUGUCAAAUCAUUUUAUCUCAUGUCAAAAUGGGUGGUCGAAAUUCGCGAUUCAGCAAUAUAUACAUUUGUCUGGCAGCAUAAGAAUCAGAAUAGACCAUUACUCUAAUUUGCCCACUAUUAACAAAGUGGUGGACGAUUAAGAGCAUUUGUUUAAUGUUAAAGAAGAGUUUAAUUACAUGAUAACAACUAAUAAAUAUGUGGUAACCCCUUGGAAGAUCAAAUACACAAGAACAGAGGAAUCUUCUUUAUGUGACAACUAAUAUAGAUUUCUUUUUAAUAUGUACAAGCAAUUUAAUAUUAUACUACAAUUGGAUUAUCUUAUCUCCUAUAUAUAAAGGAAAGAACAAUAGCCUUUGCCUCUUACAAUCAUG
This 460-nucleotide long non-coding RNA is filed under the name Prunus persica (peach). RNAcentral describes it as "long non-coding RNA (PPER_LNC006135)". Lineage: Eukaryota; Viridiplantae; Streptophyta; Magnoliopsida; Rosales; Rosaceae. The record is from RNAcentral.